GAUCCUCCUCAGCCUCCUAAGUAGCUGCGACUACAGGCACGCAUCACCAUGCCCGGGUUACUUUUUGUAUUUUUUCUAGAGACAGGGUUUUGUCAUGUUGCCUAGGCUGGUCUCAAACUCCUGGGCUCAAACAAUCCUCCCACCUCAGCGUCCCAAAGUGCUGAGAUUACAGGCCUGAGCCACCAUGCCCAGCCUUUAUUUCUUUUUUUUUUCUCUUCAGCAACAUUGUUCAUGGAAUUAUACCCUUCUUGGAAGACACUGUAUAGUAUUCUUAUUUGAGGUUCACUUGUUCAGUCUACACACUUAUGAGCUGAAGAGGUUGCCCGCCCUCUUGUGGCCAUUAUGCACCACUGCUGGAGUUGCUGUGUGGAACCUCCAAGCUCAAAUAAAACAUGGCCUUCUAAAGACCAGCCCCCGUCAGUGCGCAGAAAGGCUAGUGAGUCAGACCUAAAGAGGGCAUAGACUUGCCCAGCAUCACCCAUUGUAAAGUUGUGGCGACGUCCAGGUCAGAAAACCCAGAUCACAAGCCCACAUGCCCACAGCUCCAUCACCUGGCCAGUCAACACCACUGAAGCCCAAAGGGACUGAAAGCAAUUUUGCCCCUGUUACAAUGUUUGCGUUCUCACCUCUUCCUAAAGAGGCAGCUUAGUCUUUAGAGGAAGAGCUGCAGGAAAGAAAACCCUGGGCCUGGACUGGAUGAAGGGGUGAAGGAUGCACUAGUCUGGAUCACAGAUAGGAGGAAAAAUCAAUCCUGGACCCACCAUUUUUCUGGGAAGGAGGGCUAGUAGCUCCAGACAUCAUAGGAACAGAGCUCAGCAUUUCAGACCUGGAGGUUAGAAGCAGAGGUGGGGGUGGGGAGCUGUGAAAUUAGGAAACUUAGAUGGGUCUUGCAGAAGUAGGUGUGGCUCCACAGGUCAGGGAAUUACGGGUCAAUUGGAUAGCACCUGAGAGUGUUGUGGGGCUGGAAAGCUGGGGUGAGUGAGGCUGCCUGGGUAUUCCGCUUAGGUCUAGGCAUCCUGGCUGAAUACCUUAGAUUUCAGUUCACCACCAGAGAAGCCCGGAAACUCCAGUAAACACAUAUCUUUGGUCCCUUCUACCUGCCUCUAACUUGGCUGGUUGAGGCUCAGCUUCUCUCUAACUAGACUUUUCUGGCUUAUAGGGUACAGCUGUUUGGGAGCUCAAAGAAGGAGAAGGUAAGAAAAAGGGCAGAAAUGCAGAGAGAGGAGAGGAUGGGAUGAAAACGGGGUGUGGAAAAUAUCAGAGGGCGCAUACUGCCCUCAAGUGCACUGGGGGCUUUUGUCCGGGGUCAGAGUAAAGACAAAGAAGAGGCUGCUCAUGAAAGCUGCAGAAACAGUGCCUGGGGGGAUAAGCGGGGGCGGUGCUGGCUGAGACAAGAGACCAUGGGAGUGGGCAUUGUAAAGACCUGCAUUUAUUUAUUUUAUUUAUUUAUUUAUUUAUUUUGAGACAGGGUCUCACUCUGUCGCCCAGACUGGAGCGCAGUGGCAUGAUCUCGGCUCACCGCAACCUCCGCCUACCAGGCUCGAGCGAUUCUCCUGCCUCAGCCUCCUGAGUGGCUGGGACUACAGGCACACGCCACUACCACCCAGCUAAUUUCUGUAUUUCUAGUAGAGAUGGGGUUUCACCAUGUUGGCCAGGCUGGUCUCAAACUCCUAACCUCAAGUGAUUCACUCGCCUCGGUCUCUCAAAGUGCUAGGAUUACAGGCUUGAGCCACCAUGCCCGGCUGAGGCCUGCAUUUAGGAUGGAGGCAUUGAGGUUGAGCACUGAGCUAACUGGAAGCUCAGUGACAGCUUCAGUGAGAAAUGCUUGAGAGUUGUAGCAGACACAAGCUCAUUGUGUGUAUGGUGCCAGGCACACACUGGGUGUUCCGUGACACCUGUUCAGUGAAUGGAAGAAUGAAUAUGUGUAAGCCCACAAGGAGAUGUGACUGAAAAAAAAAGUUGCUAAUUUACAAAUUAGAUAAUUGAAAAUAUUUUUAAAUUUACUUUUUAGCAAUCCUAUAAACAGUGCAUUGUUAACAAUAGUCUUACUUAUAAAUUUGCUCAAGGUCAGUUAAGUAACAAAUGAGCUGUAAUAACCCAGAUCAACCUGACUGCAGGGGCUUCCAGGAAGCCUCCUCUGAUUCCCUACCCAUGCCAUACACUCACUUAGACCCUACUCUCCUAGGAGAACAGAUUAGUGCUGCCCAGAAGCUGGGGCAGGACAUUAGUUUCCUAUUGUCACUGUAAUGAAUUACCACAAAGUGGCUCAAAAAACAAAAUUAUUAUGUUACAGUUCAGAAGUCCAAAAUCAGCUUCACCAGGCUAAAGUCAAAGUGUUGACAGGUCUACACUCCUUCCGUGGGCUCCAGGGAAGAAUGUUUCCUUGCUUUUUCCAGCUUCUAGAUGCUGCUUGCAGUGCUUGAUUCGUGGCUCUUUUCACCAUCUUCAAAGCCAGCAGCAGAGCAUCUUCUCUCCUCUCUAACCUCUGUUUCCAUCCCUACAUCUCUCUAAUUCUACUGCCUCUCACUUGUAAGGAUUACAUUGGGUCUACUGGGAUAAUUCAGUAUCAUCUUCCCAUUGGCAAGAUCCUUAAUUAAAUCCUGCCUUCAAAGUCCCUUUUACCAUUUAAGAUAAAAUGUUCACAGGUUAAGCAGCUGGUGAGUGUCUGUAGUCCCAGCUACUCAGGGGGCUGAGGCUGGAGGAUCACUUGAGCCCAGGAGUUCAGGCCAGCCUGGGCAAUAUAGUAAGACUCUUCUCUUAAAAGAAAAUUUAUAUUUAUCCUCAGGUCCUGGGGAUUAGGAAUUGGACAUCUUUGGGAGAGGGGCUUUUAGCCUGACACAGGCAGGGUGGAAAGUGGGCAGGAGGAUGCACCCAGGCCCAGAAUGAACCUCUGUGCUUUGUCCAGCCUCCCCUAGCCUGGAAUGAGAGGUGGUACCAAGGCGGAGGUGGCAGGUCCAGACCCCAUGUCUAGAGAAUGUCAAAUGCCUCCUGUACCAUCACCACCAGGGAGAGCCAAAGAUGAAGAUCAGGCUUAGGAGAAAGCCUCAGUUUAGGAAUCGUUUUAGACCUGAGACCUUCCUGGUAACCACAGUGGAGGAUUCCUCAACACUGUCUCCUCUCCAGAACCAUUCUGUGCUCCUAUUCCCCAAGGCUGAAGAUAAUUAUAUUCCCAGUGAACUAACCUGGGUUCUCUCUGGAAAGGGCAGAUUGAUUAGUUGUCUUCUUUUUAAAUUGUUAUUUUUAAUUAUUUAAUAGUUAAACCAUGCUUCUCAUAGCAUAGUGAAUUCCAUCACCAGGCCCCUUUCUUAUUUUAUUUUCUUCUUUUUUAAAAAAAUUUUAGACUGGGCACGGUGGCUCAUGCCUGUAAUCCCAGCACUUUGGGAGGCCGAGGAAGGUGGAUCACCUGAGGUCGGGAGUUCGAGACCAGCCUGGCCAACAUGGUGAAACCCCAUCUCUACUAAAAAUACAAAAAUUAUCUGGGCAUGGUGGCGCAUGCCUGUAGUCCCAGCUGCUCAGGAGGCUGAGGCAAGAGAAUUGCUUGAACCCAGGAGGCAGAGGUUGCAGUGAACCGAGAUCAUGCCACUGCACUCCAGCCUGGGCGACAGAGCGAGACUCCGUGUCAAAAAAAAAAAUUAUUAUUUUUUUAAGAGACUGGGUCUCACUGUCACCCAGGCUGGAGGACAGUGAUGUGAUCUUGGCUCACUGUAACUUUGACCUCCUGGGCUCAAGCAAUGCUCCCACCUCAGCCUUCUGAGUAGGACUACAAGUGCACACGAGCAUGUCCAGCUAAUUAAAAAAAAAUUUUUUUUAGAGAUUGGGUCUUACUGUGUUGCUCAGCCUGGUCUUGAACUCCUGGCCUUGAGAAGUCUUCCUGCAUCAGCCUCCCAUAGUGCUGGGAUUACAGGUGUGAGCCACUGUGCCUGGCCUCUUCUUUUGAUCCCUCAUCCCUAUUCUCAUUCCUCUCCCUGUGUCAGUAUAUGUUUGGAUAUGUAUGUAUCUUUGAAAAUAUAUGUAAUUAUGUGCCUAUGUGUUUUAAUAUAUAUAAAUGGUAUACUUUUAUGGUAAGCCAACUUCUGUAAUGAAUUGCUCCCAUAUUUCAGUGAUUUAACACCACAGAUUUAUUUUUAACUUAUUCUACAUGGCACGGGUGUUUCUGGUUGGACAGCUCUCCUCCACUGUCCACUCCAGCUCCCAGGCUUCUUUUAUUUUCAGAUGGUGAUAGCCUCAUCCCAGCAUCAUAAAGUUUCCGGUCAAUUUUUCACCAAGUUGUUUUACUAUCCGUUGAUUAUCAUUUUAUGAAUUGCUUGUUUCACUAGGGAUUACAGAAUGGUGAUUUUCUAAGGCUAUUAAUUUUUCCUCAUUUAUUAGCUCUAAUUCUGUACAGAAAACCUUUUUCACAUCCUCUAGGACCAUUUGAUUACUCCGAAAUAAAAUUCAUACCAGAAUGGCAAGAUAAAUGCUUAAAUCUCUUCCCUUACCGUUUUCAAAGUAGUUAUGUCCUAACAACUUCUAAUGGUGUUCAAUGAUUUUUUUGUUUCACUCUCUUUUUAAAUGAUCUCAAACAACCUGUAGUUCUUAUGCAUUUAAUGUCGUUUAAUCAUUUGCCAUUAUUUUUUGCUUUAUAUUAUAUAAAGUAUCAAGCAUAUACAAAAAUAGAGAAAAUAGUGUAAUGAAUUCCCAGGGACCCAGCUUCAAUAAUUAUCAAUUCAUGGCCAAUCUUGGUUUAUUUAUUCCCUCAACUACUUUCCCCCUAACCAAGAUUAUUUUGAAGCAAAACCAGAUAUCAUACCAAUUUAAUCUGUAAAUGUUUUAGCAUGUAUCUCUAAAAGAUAAGGAUUUUUAUUACCAUUAUUGCACCUAAAAAGUUAAUAAAUUGUCAGUAUAAUAAAAUAUAGUUGGUGUUUAA
RNAcentral lists this long non-coding RNA (4906 nucleotides) under Homo sapiens (human). Its description in RNAcentral is "HSALNT0006263". The record is from RNAcentral. Lineage: Eukaryota; Metazoa; Chordata; Mammalia; Primates; Hominidae.